AGUAAUGCAUCGGAACGUGCCCAGUAGUGGGGGAGUAACCCGGCGAAAGCCGGACUAAUACCGCAUACGACCUAUGGGUGAAAGCGGGGGACUCGCAAGGGCCUCGCGCUAUUGGAGCGGCCGAUGUCAGAUUAGCUAGUUGGUGGGGUAAAGGCCUACCAAGGCGACGAUCUGUAGCUGGUCUGAGAGGACGACCAGCCACACUGGGACUGAGACACGGCCCAG
RNAcentral lists this ribosomal RNA (225 nucleotides) under uncultured bacterium. RNAcentral describes it as "partial 16S ribosomal RNA". It matches the Rfam family "Bacterial small subunit ribosomal RNA", at positions 109 to 334 of the family's 1533-position model. The record is from RNAcentral.